UCGCCUACAUGAAGCUGGAGUUGCUAGUAAUCGCGAAUCAGCAUGUCGCGGUGAAUACGUUCCCGGGUCUUGUACACACCGCCCGUCACACCAUGGGAGCCGGAAACGCCCAAAGACAGCGGCCUAACCGCAAGGAGGGAACUGUCUAAGGCGGGUCUGGUGACCGGGGUGAAGUCGUAACAAGGUAGC
RNAcentral lists this ribosomal RNA (189 nucleotides) under uncultured bacterium. Its description in RNAcentral is "partial 16S ribosomal RNA". It matches the Rfam family "Bacterial small subunit ribosomal RNA", at positions 1312 to 1500 of the family's 1533-position model. The record is from RNAcentral.